UACACGGAGAGUUUGAUCCUGGCUCAGAACUAACGCUAGUGGCGUGUCUUAGUCAUGCGAGUCGAGCGAGAAAGUCUUCUUCGGAAGACGAGUAGAGCGGCGAACGGGUGAGUAACGCGUGGGUAAUCUUCCUUUGAGUUGGGGAUAACAUUCCUAACGGAAUGCUAAUACCGAAUGUGGAGUACGGUUCUUGGGCCGUACUCUAAAGGCGGCCUCUGCUUGCAUGCUGUCGCUCGAAGAUGAGCCCGCGUCCUAUUAGCUUGUUGGUGAGGUAACGGCUCACCAAGGCAACGAUGGGUAGCCGGCCUGAGAGGGUGAGCGGCCACACUGGCACUGAGACAAGGGCCAGUCCCCUACGGGGGCCAGCAGUCUAGAAAUUUGCGCAAUGGGCGAAAGCCUGACGCAGCGACGCCACGUGGAGGAUGAAGCCCCUCGGGGUGUAAACUCCUGUCAGGAGGGAAGAAGGUGCGGGUGAUAAUACCAUCCGUUACUUGACGGUACCUCCAGAGGAAGCUCCGGCUAACUGCGUGCCAGCAGCCGCGGUAAUACGUGGGGAGCAAGCGUUGUUCGGAUUUACUGGGCGUAAAGAGCUCGUAGGCGGAUGUGUAAGUCGGAUGUGAAAUCCUUUGGCUCAACCAGAGAACUGCAAUCGAAACUGCAUACCUUGAGUCCAACAGAGGGAAUCGGAAUCCAAGGUGUAGCGGUGAAAUGCGUAGAUAUCUUGGAGAACACCAGUGGCGAAGGCGGAUUCCUGGGCUGACACUGACGCUGAGGAGCGAAAGCUGGGGGAGCGAACAGGAUUAGAUACCCUGGUA
Molecule: ribosomal RNA, 815 nt
Filed under: Candidatus Latescibacterota bacterium
Lineage: Bacteria; Pseudomonadati; Candidatus Latescibacterota
Description: bacterial SSU rRNA
Rfam family: Bacterial small subunit ribosomal RNA
Source: RNAcentral